This is a non-coding RNA of Cladorrhinum sp. PSN259, 139 nucleotides long. The record is from the annotation of a GenBank genome assembly. Lineage: Eukaryota; Fungi; Ascomycota; Sordariomycetes; Sordariales; Podosporaceae.
GGUCGGGUGGCGUAAUGGUAGCGCGUGGUCCUCCUAUUGAUCCACUUCCAUAAUUGCACCGCGUUAAAUGGAGCAAAAAUCUUAUUGGGAAAGAAAAUAGAAUAGACUGAGGUUGUGGGUUCGAUUCCCAUCUCGAUCG